GGCUUCGUGGUUUAGUGGUAUAAUUCUCGCUUAGGGUCACACCCCAAGCUCCAUCUGCGAGAGGUCCCGGGUUCGAUCCCCGGCGAAGCCC
This 91-nucleotide transfer RNA is filed under the name Claviceps sorghi. RNAcentral's name for it is "tRNA-Pro". It matches the Rfam family "tRNA". Rfam says of the family: Transfer RNA (tRNA) molecules are approximately 80 nucleotides in length. Their secondary structure includes four short double-helical elements and three loops (D, anti-codon, and T loops). Further hydrogen bonds mediate the characteristic L-shaped molecular structure. tRNAs have two regions of fundamental functional importance: the anti-codon, which is responsible for specific mRNA codon recognition, and the 3' end, to which the tRNAs corresponding amino acid is attached (by aminoacyl-tRNA synthetases). tRNAs cope with the degeneracy of the genetic code in two manners: having more than one tRNA (with a specific anti-codon) for a particular amino acid; and 'wobble' base-pairing, i.e. permitting non-standard base-pairing at the 3rd anti-codon position. RNAcentral also lists the same sequence under 2 other names. The record is from RNAcentral. Lineage: Eukaryota; Fungi; Ascomycota; Sordariomycetes; Hypocreales; Clavicipitaceae.